RNAcentral lists this ribosomal RNA (469 nucleotides) under uncultured bacterium. Its description in RNAcentral is "bacterial SSU rRNA". It matches the Rfam family "Bacterial small subunit ribosomal RNA", at positions 329 to 793 of the family's 1533-position model. The record is from RNAcentral.
GACAGUACUCCUACGGGAGGCAGCAGUGGGAAUAUUGCACAAUGGGGGAAACCCUGAUGCAGCCAUGCCGCGUGUGUGAAGAAGGCCUUCGGGUUGUAAAGCACUUUCAGUAGGGAGGAAGGUAGUGUAGUUAACACCUGCAUUAUUUGACUAGUACACAGAAGAAGCACCGGCUAACUCCGUGCCAGCAGCCGCGGUAAUACGGAGGGUGCGAGCGUUAAUCGGAAUUACUGGGCGUAAAGCGCAUGCAGGUGGUUUGUUAAGUCAGAUGUGAAAGCCCGGGGCUCAACCUCGGAAUUGCAUUUGAAACUGGCAGACUAGAGUACUGUAGAGGGGGUAGAAUUUCAGGUGUAGCGGUGAAAUGCGUAGAGAUCUGAAGGAAUACCGGUGGCGAAGGCGGCCCCCUGGACAGAUACUGACACUCAGAUGCGAAAGCGUGGGGAGCAAACAGGAUUAGAUACCCUGGUAG